Molecule: ribosomal RNA, 529 nt
Filed under: uncultured bacterium
Lineage: Bacteria
Description: bacterial SSU rRNA
Rfam family: Bacterial small subunit ribosomal RNA
Source: RNAcentral
UUGACAUACUAAGAACUUUCCAGAGAUGGAUUGGUGCCUUCGGGAACUUAGAUACAGGUGCUGCAUGGCUGUCGUCAGCUCGUGUCGUGAGAUGUUGGGUUAAGUCCCGCAACGAGCGCAACCCUUUUCCUUAUUUGCCAGCGGGUCAUGCCGGGAACUUUAAGGAUACUGCCAGUGACAAACUGGAGGAAGGCGGGGACGACGUCAAGUCAUCAUGGCCCUUACGGCCAGGGCUACACACGUGCUACAAUGGUCGGUACAAAGGGUUGCUACCUCGCGAGAGGAUGCUAAUCUCAAAAAGCCGAUCGUAGUCCGGAUCGCAGUCUGCAACUCGACUGCGUGAAGUCGGAAUCGCUAGUAAUCGCGGAUCAGAAUGCCGCGGUGAAUACGUUCCCGGGCCUUGUACACACCGCCCGUCACACCAUGGGAGUUUGUUGCACCAGAAGUAGGUAGUCUAACCGCAAGGAGGACGCUUACCACGGUGUGGCCGAUGACUGGGGUGAAGUCGUAACAAGGUAAGCGUAGAUGA